Molecule: long non-coding RNA, 1690 nt
Organism: Hibiscus syriacus
Lineage: Eukaryota; Viridiplantae; Streptophyta; Magnoliopsida; Malvales; Malvaceae
Exons: 2
Source: RefSeq, a predicted model, not a curated record
AAAAAAUACAAAGAAAACCCUAACUCUUUUGACCUACUCCCAUUUAUAAUUUCAUAAGAUUUUCUCCAGAUCUGUGUGUUGAGUCUCUCAAAGGAGGAAGAUUGAUGGUCUUUUCUCUUAAUAUAGAAACAGCAGCAACAACAGCUGGUUUGGCUAUGAUUUCAGCUUUUAUUUACAUUCUUGGGGUUGUUUUUCUUUGUUUUGCAGGUAGUUCAUUUUAAGCUAAUAAUGGUAAUUCAGAGGGAUGACCUGACAGGAGAGAGUGAGCACACGCAGGCAGAUAGAAUGAAAGCUCAUAUCUUUGCCCGCCGUGUGCUCACCUCUCUUCUGUCAGCCAUUAAUUUCACCCUUUUAGCCACAUGUUGUUUUCCCUAGGCAGCCUCUUCUUCUUCUUCUUUUGGUUGUUGUUCUUAUCACAUCAUCAAAACCCAUCUUGUUUUUACACACAAGCUCUCCAUUUGCUUCAGAUAGAGUGGAAGAUUCAUGUUGUUGUUGGCAAACAAAUUAAAAGCACACACUUUAUUUGGAUUUGGGAGGCAAGGAACUGUAUCUGUUUCGGGUUAAUGAUCAAGGUAUCGUCGCCUUUUUUUUUCAAUUUUCUUCAAGCUUGUCAUGGUUAAUGUGUUAUUUUGCAGAAACUCUUUGAUUUUUUUCCAGGUUUUAUUAGUUUAAUUGAGAGUUUGGUAGUUAAUCUAGACAAUAAUGCAUUUCUCUAUAUUGGAAAAGGAGAGUUUUGAGCCUAUAUACUGGUUAAAUUGCAGCUGCUAAUGAUUUAACAUUUGCUGUUUGAGCAUUGAUACUAGUACCCUUUUGAGUUCAUUAGUUAGUGAUAAUGGAUUCUUUGUUCGUAAUGUACGAUUGAAUUCCACUGAUAUCAUCGACUUUGGGAUCAUUUAAUUCGAUUUGAAUGGUACUUUGUUGUUUGAUAAAUUGUUGUAAACAUUUUCAUGCAUAUGAUGUUAAUUUAGAUAUGAAAAGUAACUAAUUUCGAGAGAACCCGACAAAGGGAGCAUACUGAUGGUCAUGCUAAGAUGCAACUUUUGGUUGGGACUUGAUAAAAAGAUGGCCUUGUGCUUGUACAUAUAUGUUCAGAUCAUGAAAUUGUCGAUUGAUUCCAUUUUCCUUGUCCACUUUUAGUGGAUUCUGUUAAUAAACAAGCAUAGUUAUUGGCGAUGCCGCAACGGUACAGUGGCAUUUUGUUAAUGGAACGCCACAAAGUGCUCGAAUUUAGCGGCGCUUAUUUGUUUCUUCGGGAAGAAAUGUUGCUAAAUUUUAUUCCUUCAAGUGCCUUUUGCUUGAAUUCUGGCCAUCUCUGCGUGCAUACACUUUCAUGCCUUCCGUUAACUGAGCAACUUUUGUAGAUGAUCGUUGUGAAGAUAUGUCUGCUGUCGAGAACCACGUCCUAAGUAGCCUAAUUUGGUACUUCUAUCUUAUACUUUCCUUUUCGGUUUGAUAACUUCAGUGAACACCUCAGUUUUUAACUUAAUGUUAUGAGCUCAAAUGUGUGUUUUAUAAUUUGUGAGAGAAAGCAAAAGAAAAAGAAAUUGUCAUGUAUCAAUAUGCUGACUGGCUGCAUUUCAUUUGGUAUGCGAGAUAUUGAAAAUGGAGUCUUCUUCGAAAUCACUAGAAUAGUAAGGAACGGACCUCCGACGGGCUUGAGGUACCGGAUUAGGGUCAAAAGAAGAAGAAA